Molecule: ribosomal RNA, 119 nt
Filed under: Pteropus alecto (black flying fox)
Lineage: Eukaryota; Metazoa; Chordata; Mammalia; Chiroptera; Pteropodidae
Source: RNAcentral
GUCUAUGGCCAUGCCACCCUGAACACGCCCGAUCCUGUCUGAUCUCGGAAGCUAAGCACGGUCUGGCCUGGUUAGUACUUGGAUGGGAGACCACCUAGGAAGACCAAGUGCUGUAAGCA